GACGAACGCUGGCGGCGUGCUUAACACAUGCAAGUCGAACGGAAAGGCCCUGCUUUUGUGGGGUGCUCGAGUGGCGAACGGGUGAGUAACACGUGAGUAACCUGCCCUUGACUUUGGGAUAACUUCAGGAAACUGGGGCUAAUACCGGAUAGGAGCUCCUGCUGCAUGGUGGGGGUUGGAAAGUUUCGGCGGUUGGGGAUGGACUCGCGGCUUAUCAGCUUGUUGGUGGGGUAGUGGCUUACCAAGGCUUUGACGGGUAGCCGGCCUGAGAGGGUGACCGGCAACAUUGGGACUGGGUAAGGGCCCGGCCUCCUACGGGAGGAAACGGUGGGAAUAAUGCACCAAUGGGCGGAGGCCUGAGGCAGCAACGCCGGGUGGGGAUGACGGCCUUCGGGUUGUAAACCGCUUUCGCCUGUGACGAAGCGUGAGUGACGGUAAUGGGUAAAGAAGCACCGGCUAACUACGUG
This 467-nucleotide ribosomal RNA is filed under the name uncultured bacterium. RNAcentral describes it as "partial 16S ribosomal RNA". It matches the Rfam family "Bacterial small subunit ribosomal RNA", at positions 28 to 507 of the family's 1533-position model. The record is from RNAcentral.